UAUAGUUUGUUUUCAACAAUUACAUGUGCUUGACGAGUCAUUUGUGUAGUUUGUCUAUUUUUCCCAUUUCUUGAGCCAUAACAAAUUUUUUAAUAAAGAAAACAACUUUUAUUUUGAAAAUUUGGGUUGUUGGACAAGUUUAGGAUCAUUCGUUGCAUAGACUUGGGAAAACUUUUGAAAAAUAGAUAUCGUCUUAACACUGUAAGUUUCUUGACUAUAAGGACUUAUCCAGAUACUUAUUAUGUUUU
Molecule: long non-coding RNA, 248 nt
Filed under: Lathyrus oleraceus (garden pea)
Lineage: Eukaryota; Viridiplantae; Streptophyta; Magnoliopsida; Fabales; Fabaceae
Description: Pisum sativum (pea) long non-coding RNA (PSAT_LNC003605)
Source: RNAcentral